UACCUCCAUAUGAUUCGCCGCACCCGCCAAAAGACAUAUUUAGCACCCCAACAAGCCUUAGAAGACCAGCUGUGAGUAUCAAAACCCUUCAAAGACCAAAAACCCUUAGAGCAUAAAAAACCCUAAGCCUUCACUCUCGUUGAAAACCCUAAGCCUUCUCUCUCUCUAUUGAAAACCCUUAACCUUUGGAAGAAUACUAUAUUCAGACUCCGAUCUACAAUUAUUCUUAACUUGUCGGUAAUGGAGUCUCAUAGAUUUGAGUGGCAACGAAAUCAAAAGUGAGGCGGGAGACAAUUUUGUGGUGGUACAUCACAUCGUGAAACAACGACGUGUAGUUGGUGAGUAGCUAGAGCUGUUUAGGGGUUUUCAUUUUCAAGAUCCUGUUCCAAUUUCCUCCGUGAAACAGCCAGAAAAUGUGAAGGUUUCUGUUCUAAGACCAGCUCGAAUCUGAUCUGCAUUUGGUUAGGAAGAUUUAUUUUGGGGGUCAAUAGAGUUCGAAUCAAAGGACCAUCCAGAUGAGAAGUCCAUGGGUUGGAAGAAAAGGAAGCUUUAUGGAGAUGAUGGUCACUGCAGGUAACAUAGGCAUGGAAAUUAGAAAUCUUAUUGUGAAAGGUAAAAAGUUUUAGCAAAAGCAAAUUUUUUUUAGCAAAAGUGAAAAUUUUUAAUUGGAAAGAUUUUAAAAAUUGGGACUCCGUGGAUUGUGAAUUUGUGACUUGAAGGGUUGGCUAUUUGGAAUGAGUUUUUGCAUUUUUGUGGAAACAAAGCUGCAAAUUUUCAUAUUUUUAUGGAUGAAUAAUCCUUUGCAUGUAUAAGAUCCUUGUAGGAUUUGAAAAUGCAUCAAAUUUCUGUCAUCACUAUAGUGGCAAUUCCUACUUGUAUCAUGAUUCUUGACUUGAUUCCCAAGUUUCCAACUUAGUUGGGGGUGUGGCAGUUCUGUUGCUGAUUUAUCUUCUAUGUUAAUAAGGAAAAGGGAUGUUUGGUAAGUCUUGUAUGGUAUACGAUGGAGCCUUUUCUAUUGGUAAAUUCACAUGUUGUUUUUCCUAUUGAACUGUUGUUUUUCUCUCUUUAUUUCUUUAAAGCUAAUUUUGGUUGCUAUUUUGUGCAUAGUAUCUGUAACAGAGCCUCCUUGAGAGUUAUUCAUCUAGUUGAAGGCUUCCCUUUGUGGUGUCAAGAAAAAGAAACACACACAAUUGCAAUGCUUUCUUAAAGAGGAAAGCAUAAACUAGGUGUACCAGAAUGUGACAAAAAUCUCAAGGUUGCAAAGGAAACAGAUUUACCAAAAAUAGAGAAAUUGUUAUGUUGAAGGAGGUGAUAUUGAAAACCAUGAAGAUUCUAUCAAUGGGCUAAUUGAAAGGUUGAACUAGAUUUUUGUAGAUUAUGGUUUCUCUUAUUACUCAUUGUAUUAAUGUUUGGCCUAAUGUUGAAGGAAUUACACAUUCUUGUUGAAAUCUUUUGAUAUAAUUGAUAAAUUUAUAUGUAAUUUGUAAAUAAGUAGUUAAAAUAAUUAUUCAA
This is a long non-coding RNA of Vitis riparia (riverbank grape), 1512 nucleotides long. RefSeq lists it as uncharacterized. Lineage: Eukaryota; Viridiplantae; Streptophyta; Magnoliopsida; Vitales; Vitaceae. The record is from RefSeq and is a predicted model, not a curated record. The transcript is spliced from 3 exons.